RNAcentral lists this ribosomal RNA (192 nucleotides) under uncultured Staphylococcus sp. RNAcentral's name for it is "partial 16S ribosomal RNA". It matches the Rfam family "Bacterial small subunit ribosomal RNA", at positions 148 to 334 of the family's 1533-position model. The record is from RNAcentral. Lineage: Bacteria; Bacillati; Bacillota; Bacilli; Caryophanales; Staphylococcaceae.
UUCGGGAAACCGGAGCUAAUACCGGAUAAUAUAUUGAACCGCAUGGUUCAAUAGUGAAAGACGGUUUUGCUGUCACUUAUAGAUGGAUCCGCGCCGCAUUAGCUAGUUGGUAAGGUAACGGCUUACCAAGGCAACGAUGCGCAGCCGACCUGAGAGGGUGAUCGGCCACACUGGAACUGAGACACGGUCCAG